Molecule: unclassified non-coding RNA, 283 nt
Filed under: uncultured Cephalotrichum
Lineage: Eukaryota; Fungi; Ascomycota; Sordariomycetes; Microascales; Microascaceae
Description: sequence contains ITS2
Rfam family: 5.8S ribosomal RNA (bases 1-53)
Source: RNAcentral
GAACGCACAUUGCGCCCGGCAGUAAUCUGCCGGGCAUGCCUGUCCGAGCGUCAUUUCUGCCCUCGAGCGAGUCCAGCACCUAGGUGCCGGGCCCGCCCGGCGUUGGGGCACUACGGGAAGCCCUGUGCUGUCCCCCGUAGGCCCCGAAAUGAAGUGGCGGUCCUGCCGCGGCGCCCCCUGCGUAGUAUCACAGCUCGCUUCGGGACCCGGUGGAGGCCUGCCGUCAAACCUUACUCUCUAAGUUUGACCUCGGAUCAGGUAGGGUUACCCGCUGAACUUAAGC